This is a transfer RNA of Operophtera brumata (winter moth), 73 nucleotides long. It matches the Rfam family "tRNA". Rfam says of the family: Transfer RNA (tRNA) molecules are approximately 80 nucleotides in length. Their secondary structure includes four short double-helical elements and three loops (D, anti-codon, and T loops). The record is from Rfam. Lineage: Eukaryota; Metazoa; Arthropoda; Insecta; Lepidoptera; Geometridae.
CGUUCCAUGGCCAAACUAGUCAAGGCAUCGCCGAUCAGACGCGAAGAUCCGGGUUCGAGUCCCGCUGCAACGG